This is a small nucleolar RNA of Echinops telfairi (small Madagascar hedgehog), 134 nucleotides long. The record is from Ensembl. Lineage: Eukaryota; Metazoa; Chordata; Mammalia; Afrosoricida; Tenrecidae.
GCACGGGUUUGGAUUUGUGGCAGGUCCAAUCCCCUGGGCCUCUCACAGUGUCCCAUGUGAAAGCAAACUGUCAUCUUGGACCAUUGCCUGGCUCUACCCUAUGGGCUUCAGGCACUGAAGCGGGUUGCACGGUG